CAGGGUUCAGACCAAAAUAAAUUCAGAUCAACAACUUAUUUAUAAAAUUAUAACUGCGUGCAAAUAUGAAAACAAAAAUGAAUAACAAUCAGUCAUAAAUCACAUUAUAAGUGCGCGCCAAUAGUAAUGUAGAUGAUUGCAAAAAACCUUUCAGAAGACCUAAAAACUAAAAAGUUAGGAAACCGUUCCCACGAAACUGAUAACAUUUAAGUGUGGGAAACGAGAAUUACAUUUCCUUUUAGCUGGUUAAAUAAUUAGAGGGUGGAUUAUACAUUAUACAGAGUAUGAGGGUGCAAAGUCAAGUGUAUGCGUCAAAUGAAAAUCGUAUAGGAGGGGACCCCUCUGCGAUAAAACUGUGUGAACGCGUAGCGCGGUUUUAUUUAUUACUAAGUUGUCGAUGCGUUAAGAGCGAGGGUUCUCGGUCAAAUUGUAGUUGGGUUUUGCGAGAAAAGUUUUACGUUUAGUCGUGAAAGUUCGCUAAAAUGUCAGUGAAAAAGUUUUUUUCUGAAGCUGGUCAAAACUGCUUAAAAGUUUUUAAAAGUUGGUCCAAACACUUCCAAAAUGUGAAGUACCACAAGAAAAAGUGCCGGCAUAGCUCGAUUUACUCGGUUUCUACGUUUGGAAGGGCAAGUGUGUCUACGGAAAUCACUCUCCUAGAAUACGACGUAACCAAAUGCAUGUGCCAAGAAAAUCAUAAUGAAAUUAAUGAAAAUAAAUUAAAUGAAAGCAUUGAACAAACGUGGAUUUGUAAAUACUAUUAGAUUUUUGUGUGUUUGUGAAAAUACUCGAUAAAAUAUAUGAUUUUUUUUGUGUUUUGAUCCUGAUAGUUGGCUGUGAUGAUUGUAUAUAUGUAUAAUAUUUAAGUUAUUUACUUUUUUGUGAAUAAAGUCUCUCGUGUGUUUUUA
Long non-coding RNA from Anthonomus grandis grandis, 905 nucleotides. RefSeq lists it as uncharacterized. The record is from RefSeq and is a predicted model, not a curated record. NCBI's taxonomy places the organism in Eukaryota, Metazoa, Arthropoda, Insecta, Coleoptera, Curculionidae. The transcript is spliced from 2 exons.